RNAcentral lists this ribosomal RNA (468 nucleotides) under uncultured bacterium. Its description in RNAcentral is "partial 16S ribosomal RNA". It matches the Rfam family "Bacterial small subunit ribosomal RNA", at positions 28 to 507 of the family's 1533-position model. The record is from RNAcentral.
GACGAACGCUGGCGGCGUGCUUUACACAUGCAAGUCGAACGGUAAGGCCCUUCCUUUUUGUGGUGCUCGAGGGGCGAACGGGUAAGUAACACGUGAGUAACCUGCCCUGGGCGUUGGGAUAACUUCAGGAAACUUGGGCUAAUACCGGAUAUGAGGUCGUGCUGCGUGGUGGGGGUUGGAAAGUUUCGGCGGUUGGGUUUGGACUCGCGGCUUAUCAGCUUGUUGGUUGGUUAGUGGCUUACCAAGGCUUUGACGGGUAGCCGGCAUGAGAGGGUGACCGGCCACAUUGGGACUGAGAUACGGCGCAGACUCCUACGGGAGGCAGCAGUGGGGAGUAUUGCACAAUGGGGGGGCGCCUGAUGCAGAGACGCCCGGUGCGGGAUGACGGCCUUCGGGUUGUAAACCGCUGUCGGCUGUGACGAAGCGUGAGUGACGGUACUGGGUAAAGAAGCACCGGCUAACUACGUG